Molecule: long non-coding RNA, 535 nt
Filed under: Homo sapiens (human)
Lineage: Eukaryota; Metazoa; Chordata; Mammalia; Primates; Hominidae
Description: HSALNT0349273
Source: RNAcentral
UGGGCGGGAAAGGACGGACGGGUUAAGUAGCCAAUCACCAAUUGCGCUCCAGCCAGAGGGGCGAUGUUCUUGGGGAGCCUGGGGAUCUGGAAGAAGUUCAGUGUGAGGACGAGUGUUAGGAAAUAAGGCUGAAGACAGAGGCAACCCUGGAGGAUCUUCUAACCCAUGUCAAGCAGUUGAGAAUUUAUGGAGUGAAAUAGCAAGCCAUUGAAGAGUUUCAAGGUGCUCCCAAUGCAAUCACAAAGAUCUUUAAAAGUGGAAGAAGGUGGGAGAGGUCAGAGUGAUACGAAGAGAACUCAGUCUACCACUGCUGGCUUUGAAGAUGGAAGAAUGGGGCUAUGAGCCCUGGAUUGCGGGCAGCCUGCAGAAGCUGGGGCAGAGAUUCCACACAGGCACCUCUAGAAAAUAAUGCAGCCAGCCAAUCCUUAGACUUUAUCCCAGUGAGAGUCAAGUUGGACUUCUGACCUACAAAAGAGUAAAUAUCUAAAUUAUCUGUGGCAACAACUUGGUGGGGUCAACUCGAAUGUUUUUGUCG